Molecule: RNA transcript, 2271 nt
Organism: Lathyrus oleraceus (garden pea)
Lineage: Eukaryota; Viridiplantae; Streptophyta; Magnoliopsida; Fabales; Fabaceae
Gene name: vacuolar-sorting receptor 1
Exons: 13
Source: RefSeq, a predicted model, not a curated record
CGUUUCGCCCCAUUAUUUCGACACCUUUUAAGAUUUCAAUGCUUUUACAUUCUUACGCAUCCCUCUUCUCUUUCUAACCCACAAAACCUUAAACCUUCUUCAACAAACAAAGCUACUAUUUCUGUUUUUCUUGUCAUUUGCACUAAAAAAAGGUUUAUGUUCUGUGAUAAGACAAGAGAAUGAGCAUUAAGUUGAAUUUUUUGUUGUGUGUUUCAUUUUUGUUUUUGGAGUGUUGUUUGGGUAGGUUUUUGGUGGAGAAGAAUAGCUUAAGAAUCACUUCUCCAAAAUCGUUGAAAGGUUCAUAUGAAUGUGCAAUUGGAAAUUUUGGAGUGCCUCAGUAUGGUGGAACAUUGAUUGGUUCUGUGGUGUAUCCAAAUGUGAAUCAGAAAGGAUGCAGGAACUUCACUGAUUUUGAUGCUUCGUUUCAGUCUAAGCCUGGAGUUUUUCCCACCUUUCUUCUUGUUGAUCGUGGAGAUUGCUACUUCACUUUGAAGGCGUGGAAUGCGCAAAAUGGUGGAGCAGCGGCUAUUCUUGUAGCUGAUGACAAAGAAGAAACACUAAUCACGAUGGACACUCCUGAAGAAGGGAAUGUUGCAAAGGAUGAUUAUGUGGAAAAGAUUAAUAUUCCUUCUACUCUUAUCAGCAAAUCCUUGGGGGACAGAAUCAAGGAGGCUCUCUUGAAUGGUGAGGUUGUUAAUAUAAAUCUUGAUUGGAGAGAGGCUCUUCCGCAUCCGGACGACAGAGUUGAGUAUGAGUUAUGGACGAAUAGCAAUGACGAAUGUGGUCCAAAGUGUGACAAUCAAAUUAAUUUUGUGAAGAGCUUUAAAAGUGCGGCUCAGCUACUUGAGAAGAAAGGGUUCACUCAAUUUACUCCUCACUUUAUAACUUGGUAUUGCCCUAACAAUUUUCUCUUAAGCAAUCAAUGCAAGUCUCAGUGUAUAAACAACGGGCGAUACUGUGCUCCGGACCCUGAGAAUGAUUUCAAUAAAGGGUAUGAUGGGAAAGAUGUCGUUCUUCAGAAUUUACGACAAGCUUGCUUCUUUAAAGUCGCAAAUGAAAGUGGAAAGCCGUGGCAAUGGUGGGACUAUGUGACCGAUUUUUCAAUCCGUUGCCCAAUGAGAGAGAAAAAAUACACCGAAGAUUGUUCAGAUCAAGUUAUUAAAUCUCUUGGUGUUGAUCUUGAAAAGAUCAAUGACUGUGUUGGGGAUCCUGAUGCUGAUGUUGAAAAUCGUGUUCUCAAAGCCGAGCAGGAUUUACAGAUUGGCAAAGAGUCUCGGGGUGAUAUUACUAUACUGCCAACUCUUGUUAUAAACAAGAGACAAUAUAGAGGUAAGUUGUCAAGACCGGCAGUUCUCAAGGCAAUAUGUUCAGGUUUCCAAGAGACCACCGAACCAUCAAUUUGCUUAACUUCAGACAUGGAAACAAACGAGUGUUUGGAAAACAAUGGUGGCUGCUGGCAAGAUGAAUCUUCUAACAUUACUGCAUGCAGGGACACUUUUCGAGGAAGAGUGUGUGAAUGCCCUAUUGUAAAAAAUGUGAAGUUUAUUGGGGAUGGAUAUACUCACUGUGAAGCUUCAGGAGCCUUAAGCUGUGAAUUCCACAAUGGAGGUUGUUGGAAACAAUCCCACGGUGGAAGGCUUUACUCUGCUUGCCAUGAUGACUAUAGAAAAGGCUGCGAGUGUCCGUCAGGGUUCAAAGGCGAUGGAGUCUUGUCAUGUGAAGAUAUUGAUGAGUGCAAAGAAAAGCUGGCCUGUCAGUGUCCACAAUGCAAAUGCAAAAACACCUUUGGGAGUUACGAGUGCAAAUGCAAUAGCGGUUUGCUCUACUCGCGAGAGAAUGACACGUGCAUUGGUAGAUUUACUUCUUCUUCAGUGGCGAGUAUUUGGAUGAUUAUCCUUGUCGCGGUUAUUACUCUUUCGGGAGGAUAUGCCUUUUACAAGUACAGAAUCCAGAGAUACAUGGACACUGAGAUACGAGCAAUAAUGGCGCAAUACAUGCCCUUGGAUAAUCAACCUCUUAUUAUUCCUAAUCAAGAAGUUCAUCAUGAUAUCUAGGAGAUGUUAGGGGUCUUUUUCUGAGAAGAAUAUUAGUCUUCUGAGAAAGAUAGAGGUUUCAUGAUCUUGAGCUUUUCGAGCAACAUCUCUAUCAAUACUAUGUUGUAUAAGAUGCAACUACGUAUUCGGCUUCACAUGAGGAUAAUGCCACAAUGCUUUGCUUUCUUAAGUUCCAAGAGAUUGGUGCUUCCCCAAUCAUGAAUAUGUAACAUGUAGU